Molecule: non-coding RNA, 45 nt
Filed under: Trichobilharzia regenti
Lineage: Eukaryota; Metazoa; Platyhelminthes; Trematoda; Strigeidida; Schistosomatidae
Source: RNAcentral
AUCCAACUGACGAGUCCUAAAUAGGUCGAAAUGCGCAUCCUGGAC